GACGAACCGUCCAAACGUUAUUCGGAAUCACUGGGCUUAAAGGGUGCGUAGGCGGUCCGGUAAGUUGGGUGUGAAAUACCUCGGCCUAACCGAGGAAUGGCGCCCAAAACUGUCGGACUCGAGGAAGACAGAGGUGAACGGAACUUAGGGUGGAGCGGUGAAAUGCGUUGAUAUCCUAAGGAACACCGGUAGCGAAAGCGGUUCACUGGGUCUUUUCUGACGCUGAUGCACGAAAGCCAGGGGAGCGAACGGG
Molecule: ribosomal RNA, 253 nt
Filed under: uncultured bacterium
Lineage: Bacteria
Description: partial 16S ribosomal RNA
Rfam family: Bacterial small subunit ribosomal RNA
Source: RNAcentral